ACAUACGGCCAUAGGCAGUAGAAUAUACCGCGUCCCGUUUGCUCCGCUGAAGUCAAGCUACUGACCGGCAGGCAGAUUAGUAGUUGGGUCGGUGACGACGACCAGCGAACACCGGCUGCUGUAUGUU
This 127-nucleotide ribosomal RNA is filed under the name Akanthomyces lecanii RCEF 1005. Lineage: Eukaryota; Fungi; Ascomycota; Sordariomycetes; Hypocreales; Cordycipitaceae. The record is from RNAcentral.